GAUGAACGCUGGCGGCGUGCCUAAUACAUGCAAGUCGAGCGAACAGAUGAGGAGCUUGCUCCUCUGACGUUAGCGGCGGACGGGUGAGUAACACGUGGAUAACCUACCUAUAAGACUGGGAUAACUUCGGGAAACCGGAGCCAAUACCGGAUAAUAUAUUGAACCGCAUGGUUCAAUAGUGAAAGACGGCUUUGCUGUCACUUAUAGAUGGAUCCGCGCCGCAUUAGCUAGUUGGUAAGGUAACGGCUUACCAAGGCAACGAUGCGUAGCCGACCUGAGAGGGUGAUCGGCCACACUGGAACUGAGACACGGUCCAGACUCCUACGGGAGGCAGCAGUAGGGAAUCUUCCGCAAUGGGCGAAAGCCUGACGGAGCAACGCCGCGUGAGUGAUGAAGGUCUUCGGAUCGUAAAACUCUGUUAUUAGGGAAGAACAAAUGUGUAAGUAACUAUGCACGUCUUGACGGUACCUAAUCAGAAAGCCACGGCUAACUACGUG
This 497-nucleotide ribosomal RNA is filed under the name uncultured bacterium. RNAcentral describes it as "partial 16S ribosomal RNA". It matches the Rfam family "Bacterial small subunit ribosomal RNA", at positions 28 to 507 of the family's 1533-position model. The record is from RNAcentral.